This is a long non-coding RNA of Cottoperca gobio, 361 nucleotides long. RefSeq lists it as uncharacterized. The record is from RefSeq and is a predicted model, not a curated record. The transcript has 3 exons. Lineage: Eukaryota; Metazoa; Chordata; Actinopteri; Perciformes; Bovichtidae.
AACCGCAGGGGCGGUUUUAACUGACUUCGCUUCUCUUUGGACACAAGUUCCAGUUUCUUCGUUGCAACUGGACAUUAAACACUCACCGACUCUCAGUUUGCAGAUGAUGCCGUGACCUCGGAGCUGCAGAGCUGUCAGUGAUGGAGGACCUCUGGUGUGUGGCUGUGGGGGUUUUCCAGGUGUGGAUGUUUGUGGUGGUGUUCCUCAUCAUGCUGCCGGCCAUGUUCGGCCUCUCUCUGGGGGUCACCGGGGUCUACAUCCAGAUCCUGGUCCAAAUCCUGGAGUGGGCAACGUUACGAAUCCAGAGAGGACGGCAGCAGCAGCCCAGCGUGCCCGUGCCUCUGCCCAACGGUGAGUGAGG